This 329-nucleotide unclassified non-coding RNA is filed under the name soil metagenome. RNAcentral describes it as "partial contains 5.8S ribosomal RNA, internal transcribed spacer 2, and large subunit ribosomal RNA". The stretch from base 1 to 120 matches the Rfam family "5.8S ribosomal RNA", at positions 35 to 154 of the family's 154-position model. The record is from RNAcentral.
GAUGAAGAACGUAGCGAAAUGCGAUAAGUAGUGUGAAUUGCAGAAUUCAGUGAAUCAUCGAAUCUUUGAACGCACAUUGCGCCCCUUGGUAUCCCGAGGGGCAUGCCUGUUCGAGCGUCAUUUCACCACUCAAGCCUGGCUUGGUGUUGGGCGACGUCCUCUUUGGGGACGCGCCUCGAAACGCUCGGCGGCGUGGCACCGGCUUUAAGCGUAGCAGAAUCUUUCGCUUUGGAAGUCGGGGCCCCGUCUGCCGGAAGACCUGCUCGCAAGGUUGACCUCGGAUCAGGCAGGGAUACCAGCUGAACUUAAGCAUAUCAAUAAGCGGAGGA